UACGUAGGGACCAAGCGUUGUUCGGAUUUACUGGGCGUAAAGAGCGUGUAGGCGGCCAAGCAGGUCCGUUGUGAAAACUGGAGGCUUAACCUCCAGACGUCGACGGAAACCGCGCGGCUAGAGUCCGGAAGAGGAGAGUGGAAUUCCUGGUGUAGCGGUGAAAUGCGCAGAUAUCAGGAAGAACACCAAUGGCGAAGGCAGCUCUCUGGGACGGUACUGACGCUGAGACGCGAAAGCGUGGGGAGCGAACAGG
Molecule: ribosomal RNA, 253 nt
Filed under: uncultured bacterium
Lineage: Bacteria
Description: partial 16S ribosomal RNA
Rfam family: Bacterial small subunit ribosomal RNA
Source: RNAcentral